UCAAAUUGACACCGUAACUUCGGAAGAAGGUGUGCCUUUAGUAGGUGAUCCAUUUACUUGGUGAGCCCAAUGAGGCCGCAGAGAAUCGGUGGCUGCAACUGUUUAUUAAAAACACAGCACUCAGCAAAGACGGAAGUCGACGUAUAGGGUGUGACGCCUGCCCGGUGCUGGAAGAUUAAAUGAUGGGGUGCAAGCUCUUGACUGAAGUCCCAGUAAACGGCGGCCGUAACUAUAACGGUCCUAAGGUAGCGAAAUUCCUUGUCGGGUAAGUUCCGACCUGCACGAAUGGCGUAAUGAUGGCCACACUGUCUCCUCCAGAGACUCAGCGAAGUUGAAAUGUUUGUGAUGAUGCAAUCUCCCCGCGGAAAGACGGAAAGACCCCAUGAACCUUUACUGUAGCUUUACAUUGGACUUUGAACAGAUCUGUGUAGGAUAGGUGGGAGGCUUUGAAGCGGCGCCGCUAGGUGUCGUGGAGCCAACGUUGAAAUACCACCCUGGUGUGUUUGAGGUUCUAACCUUGGCCCGUUAUCCGGGUUGGGGACAGUGUAUGGUGGGCAGUUUGACUGGGGCGGUCUCCUCCCAAAGCGUAACGGAGGAGUUCGAAGGUACGCUAGGCACGGUCGGAAAUCGUGCUGAUAGUGCAUUGGCAUAAGCGUGCUUGACUGCGAGACUGACAAGUCGAGCAGGUACGAAAGUAGGACAAAGUGAUCCGGUGGUUCUGUAUGGAAGGGCCAUCGCUCAACGGAUAAAAGGUACUCUGGGGAUAACAGGCUGAUACCGCCCAAGAGUUCAUAUCGACGGCGGUGUUAGGCACCUCGAUGUCGGCUCAUCUCAUCCUGGGGCUGUAGCCGGUCCCAAGGGUAUGGCUGUUCGCCAUUUAAAGAGGUACGUGAGCUGGGUUUAAAACGUCGUGAGACAGUUUGGUCCCUAUCUUCCGUGGGCGCUGCAAGAUUGAAAGAGCCUGCUCCUAGUACGAGAGGACCGGAGUGGACGCACCUCUGGUGUAUCGGUUGUCACGCCAGUGGCAUUGCCGAGUAGCUAUGUGCGGAAGAGAUAACCGCUGAAAGCAUCUAAGCGGGAAACUCGUCUUAAGAUUAGUCUUGCCGGGGCCUUGAGCCCCCUGAAGAGUCGUUCGAGACCAGGACGUUGAUAGGCUGGGUGUGGAAGCGUAGUAAUACGUUAAGCUAACCAGUACUAAUUGCUCGUGAGGCUUGACCCC
RNAcentral lists this ribosomal RNA (1219 nucleotides) under metagenome. RNAcentral describes it as "bacterial LSU rRNA". It matches the Rfam family "Bacterial large subunit ribosomal RNA", at positions 1717 to 2925 of the family's 2925-position model. The record is from RNAcentral.